AACGAACGCUGGCGGCAUGCCUAACACAUGCAAGUCGAACGAGACCUUCGGGUCUAGUGGCGCACGGGUGCGUAACGCGUGGGAAUCUGCCCUCUGGUUCGGAACAACAGUUGGAAACGACUGCUAAUACCGGAUAAUGACUUCGGUCCAAAGAUUUAUCGCCUGAGGAUGAGCCCGCGUAGGAUUAGCUUGUUGGUGAGGUAAAAGCUCACCAAGGCGACGAUCCUUAGCUGGUCUGAGAGGAUGAUCAGCCACACUGGGACUGAGACACGGCCCAGACUCCUACGGGAGGCAGCAGUGGGGAAUAUUGGACAAUGGGCGAAAGCCUGAUCCAGCAAUGCCGCGUGAGUGAUGAAGGCCUUAGGGUUGUAAAGCUCUUUUACCCGGGAUGAUAAUGACAGUACCGGGAGAAUAAGCCCCGGCUAACUCCGUGCCAGCCGCCGCGGUAA
RNAcentral lists this ribosomal RNA (449 nucleotides) under uncultured bacterium. RNAcentral describes it as "partial 16S ribosomal RNA". It matches the Rfam family "Bacterial small subunit ribosomal RNA", at positions 29 to 523 of the family's 1533-position model. The record is from RNAcentral.